This 305-nucleotide unclassified non-coding RNA is filed under the name uncultured fungus. RNAcentral's name for it is "partial contains 5.8S ribosomal RNA, internal transcribed spacer 2, and large subunit ribosomal RNA". The stretch from base 1 to 52 matches the Rfam family "5.8S ribosomal RNA", at positions 103 to 154 of the family's 154-position model. Lineage: Eukaryota; Fungi. The record is from RNAcentral. RNAcentral also lists the same sequence under 1 other name.
AACGCACCUUGCGCUCCUUGGUAUUCCGAGGAGCAUGCCUGUUUGAGUGUCAUGAAAUUCUCAACCUUUUCGGCUUUUUCUAAGUUGAUCAGGCUUGGAUGUGGGAGUUUGCGGGCUUCUCUGAAGUCGGCUCUCCUUAAAUUCAUUAGUAGGGACCUCUGUUGCCUUAGCUUUUGGUGUGAUAAUUAUCUACGCCAUCAUGUGAAGCAGCUUUAAAUUGGAGGUUACUGCUUUCUAACCGUCUCCCAUGGGACAUUUUCUGACAAUUUGACCUCAAAUCAGGUAGGACUACCCGCUGAACUUAA